UUUCCGUAGGUGAACCUGCGGAAGGAUCAUUGUCGAGACCGAAAUUAUAUCGAGCGAUUCGGAGAACCUGUGAAAUAAGCGGCGGCGCCGUCGCCGCGAAGCGGCCGUCCCCGUCGUCGCUCCCCCCGUCCGGAGGGGGCCGCGUCGAGGGACGGCCGAAACCCCGAACCGGCGCAGACUGGCGCCAAGGGAGCUAUCGAAAAACACGGGCCCGUCAUCGGGUCUUCGUGGGGUGGAGCGGUGCUGCGCACCGCACGUACUGACACGACUCUCGACAAUGGAUAUCUCGGCUCUC
RNAcentral lists this unclassified non-coding RNA (295 nucleotides) under root metagenome. Its description in RNAcentral is "partial contains small subunit ribosomal RNA, internal transcribed spacer 1, and 5.8S ribosomal RNA". The record is from RNAcentral.